This 312-nucleotide unclassified non-coding RNA is filed under the name uncultured Hemimycena. RNAcentral's name for it is "sequence contains ITS2". The stretch from base 1 to 52 matches the Rfam family "5.8S ribosomal RNA", at positions 103 to 154 of the family's 154-position model. The record is from RNAcentral. Lineage: Eukaryota; Fungi; Basidiomycota; Agaricomycetes; Agaricales; Tricholomataceae.
AACGCACCUUGCGCCCUUUGGUAUUCCGAAGGGCAUGCCUGUUUGAGUGUUAUUAAAUUCUCAACCUUUUGAACGCUUUAUUGCGCUCACUAGGCUUGGAUGUGAGGGUUUUGCUGGCUUCCUUCAGUGGCGGUCUGCUCCCUUUAAAUGCAUUAGUGGGAUCCUUUGUGGAUCGGUCACUUGGUGUGAUAAUAUAUCUACGCCGCUUGUACUGUGAAGCAAAACUUAUGGGAACCUGCUUAUAACCGUCUAGCAAUAGACAACUUUUGAACCUUUAACCUCAAAUCAGGUAGGACUACCCGCUGAACUUAA